ACUGCCCUCUCCAUGUAAAGCCGUGGCAAAGCUAAAAUAGAGUUUGGGUUCCUGCCACCUUCUUCUGCUACUCUGGCUUCCGCAGCAGCUGCUACCGAUUGGUGUGCCCUUUGGCGAUGGCCGUGCAUGUCUCUUCCCUGCCAGCUUCUGGGAUCCCUGAGGCCUGAGCUCCUGGCACUGAGCCGUGAGCGGAUGGGGAAACUGAGGCC
Miniopterus natalensis is the source of this 209-nucleotide non-coding RNA. The record is from RefSeq and is a predicted model, not a curated record. Lineage: Eukaryota; Metazoa; Chordata; Mammalia; Chiroptera; Miniopteridae.